GGUGGGGUUCCCGAGCGGCCAAAGGGAGCAGACUGUAAAUCUGCCGUCAUCGACUUCGAAGGUUCGAAUCCUUCCCCCAGCG
Molecule: transfer RNA, 82 nt
Filed under: Salmonella enterica subsp. enterica serovar Newport
Lineage: Bacteria; Pseudomonadati; Pseudomonadota; Gammaproteobacteria; Enterobacterales; Enterobacteriaceae
Description: tRNA-Tyr
Rfam family: tRNA
About the family: Transfer RNA (tRNA) molecules are approximately 80 nucleotides in length. Their secondary structure includes four short double-helical elements and three loops (D, anti-codon, and T loops). Further hydrogen bonds mediate the characteristic L-shaped molecular structure. tRNAs have two regions of fundamental functional importance: the anti-codon, which is responsible for specific mRNA codon recognition, and the 3' end, to which the tRNAs corresponding amino acid is attached (by aminoacyl-tRNA synthetases). tRNAs cope with the degeneracy of the genetic code in two manners: having more than one tRNA (with a specific anti-codon) for a particular amino acid; and 'wobble' base-pairing, i.e. permitting non-standard base-pairing at the 3rd anti-codon position.
Source: RNAcentral